GAGAAAUCAGCUACCUUGGUGCUGAAAACAGUAGCUUUGACAUCCUCUAAACAGGAAUAAUCCAGGAACAGUGAGGAAAGUGCUGCUGCUGCUUCUCCAGCAGCUGUAGUUGUUCCUGCGAGAGGAGCCCAGGUGAGCAGCUGCUGGCUGAUCAUAAAGUCUGGAAGCAAACAACAAAUGUCCAAGCAGUUAUUUCUUCCCUAAACUUAGAAUGAAUCCGUAGUAAGAAACCAUUGGCCUUCUCUACAGCACCUUUACCCCAUAGCUCUGAGGGCUUUACGAAGGUAGGUUAAUAUGGCUUUGUCUUCCUAGUGCAUUCCAAAAAUUUAACUAACCCUCAACAUCCCUAUGAGAUGAGCAGGUA
RNAcentral lists this long non-coding RNA (364 nucleotides) under Chrysemys picta bellii (western painted turtle). RNAcentral describes it as "lncRNA (ENSCPBG00000012365.1)". The record is from RNAcentral. Lineage: Eukaryota; Metazoa; Chordata; Testudines; Emydidae.